This 317-nucleotide ribosomal RNA is filed under the name uncultured eukaryote. RNAcentral's name for it is "partial 18S ribosomal RNA". It matches the Rfam family "Eukaryotic small subunit ribosomal RNA", at positions 1470 to 1796 of the family's 1831-position model. The record is from RNAcentral.
CCCUUAGACGUUCUGGGCCGCACGCGCGCUACACUGACCAGUGCAACAAGCAUCCGUCCUUGGCCGACAGGCUCGGGCAAUCUUUGAACGCUGGUCGUGAUGGGGAUAGACUUUUGCAAUUUUUGGUCUUCAACGAGGAAUUCCUAGUAAACGCAAGUCAUCAACUUGCAUUGAUUACGUCCCUGCCCUUUGUACACACCGCCCGUCGCACCUACCGAUUGAAUGGUCCGGUGAAAUCCUCGGAUCGAGCCGUGGGGCAACUCCGGUUCGAGAAGUUGAUUAAACCUUACCAUUUAGAGGAAGGUGAAGUCGUANCA